CGGUUAAGUUAGAAAGGGCGCACGGUGGAUGCCUUGGCACUAGGAGCCGAUGAAGGACGGGACGAACACCGAUAUGCUUCGGGGAGCUGUAAGCAAGCUUUGAUCCGGAGAUUUCCGAAUGGGGAAACCCACCACUCGUAAUGGAGUGGUAUCCAUAUCUGAAUUCAUAGGAUAUGAGAAGGCAGACCCGGGGAACUGAAACAUCUAAGUACCCGGAGGAAGAGAAAGCAAAUGCGAUUCCCUGAGUAGCGGCGAGCGAAACGGGAUUAGCCCAAACCAAGAGGCUUGCCUCUUGGGGUUGUAGGACACUCUGUACGGAGUUACAAAGGAACGAGGUAGAUGAAGAGGUCUGGAAAGGCCCGCCAUAGGAGGUAACAGCCCUGUAGUCAAAACUUCGUUCUCUCCUGAGUGGAUCCUGAGUACGGCGGAACACGUGAAAUUCCGUCGGAAUCCGGGAGGACCAUCUCCCAAGGCUAAAUACUCCCUAGUGACCGAUAGUGAACCAGUACCGUGAGGGAAAGGUGAAAAGCACCCCGGAAGGGGAGUGAAAGAGAUCCUGAAACCGUGUGCCUACAAGUAGUCAGAGCCCGUUAACGGGUGAUGGCGUGCCUUUUGUAGAAUGAACCGGCGAGUUACGAUCCCGUGCAAGGUUAAGCAGAAGAUGCGGAGCCGCAGCGAAAGCGAGUCUGAAUAGGGCGCAUGAGUACGUGGUCGUAGACCCGAAACCAGGUGAUCUACCCAUGUCCAGGGUGAAGUUCAGGUAACACUGAAUGGAGGCCCGAACCCACGCACGUUGAAAAGUGCGGGGAUGAGGUGUGGGUAGGGGUGAAAUGCCAAUCGAACCUGGAGAUAGCUGGUUCUCUCCGAAAUAGCUUUAGGGCUAGCCUCAAGGUAAGAGUCUUGGAGGUAGAGCACUGAUUGGACUAGGGGCCCCUACCGGGUUACCGAAUUCAGUCAAACUCCGAAUGCCAAUGACUUAUCC
Molecule: ribosomal RNA, 982 nt
Filed under: Pseudomonas sp. EGD-AK9
Lineage: Bacteria; Pseudomonadati; Pseudomonadota; Gammaproteobacteria; Pseudomonadales; Pseudomonadaceae
Description: bacterial LSU rRNA
Rfam family: Bacterial large subunit ribosomal RNA
Source: RNAcentral